UGUAGGAUAGGUGGGAGGCUAUGAAGACGUGACGCCAGUUGCGUUGGAGCCGUCCUUGAAAUACCACCCUUGUAUGUUUGAUGUUCUAACUUAGCCCCAUUAUCUGGGGUGAGGACAGUGCCUGGUGGGUAGUUUGACUGGGGCGGUCUCCUCCCAAAGAGUAACGGAGGAGCACGAAGGUGGGCUAAUCACGGUUGGACAUC
RNAcentral lists this ribosomal RNA (203 nucleotides) under Vibrio cholerae. Its description in RNAcentral is "partial 23S ribosomal RNA". It matches the Rfam family "Bacterial large subunit ribosomal RNA", at positions 2137 to 2339 of the family's 2925-position model. Lineage: Bacteria; Pseudomonadati; Pseudomonadota; Gammaproteobacteria; Vibrionales; Vibrionaceae. The record is from RNAcentral.